UGGGGAAUAUUGCACAAUGGGCGCAAGCCUGAUGCACCAACGCCGCGUGAACGAUGAAGGUCUUCGGAUCGUAAAGUUCUGUUGCAGGGGAAGAUAAUGACGGUACCCUGUGAGGAAGCCCCGGCUAACUACGUGCCAGCAGCCGCGGUAAUACGUAGGGGGCUAGCGUUAUCCGGAUUUACUGGGCGUAAAGGGUGCGUAGGUGGUCUUUCAAGUCGGUGGUUAAAGGCUACGGCUCAACCGUAGUUAGCCUCCGAAACUGGAAGACUUGAGUGCAGGAGAGGAAAGUGGAAUUCCCAGUGUAGCGGUGAAAUGCGUAGAUAUUGGGAGGAACACCAGUAGCGAAGGCGGCUUUCUGGACUGCAACUGACACUGAGGCACGAAAGCGUGGGUAGCAAACAGG
Molecule: ribosomal RNA, 403 nt
Filed under: Verrucomicrobiota bacterium
Lineage: Bacteria; Pseudomonadati; Verrucomicrobiota
Description: Verrucomicrobia bacterium partial 16S ribosomal RNA
Rfam family: Bacterial small subunit ribosomal RNA
Source: RNAcentral